UACGUAGGGGGCAAGCGUUGUCCGGAAUCAUUGGGCGUAAAGAGCGCGUAGGCGGCCCUGUAAGUCCGCUGUGAAAGUCAAGGGCUCAACCCUUGAAUGCCGGUGGAUACUGCAGGGCUAGAGUCCGGAAGAGGCGAGUGGAAUUCCUGGUGUAGCGGUGAAAUGCGCAGAUAUCAGGAGGAACACCGGUGGCGAAGGCGGGUCUCUGGGCCGAUACUGACGCUGAGGAGCGAAAGCGUGGGGAGCGAACAGG
This 253-nucleotide ribosomal RNA is filed under the name uncultured bacterium. Its description in RNAcentral is "partial 16S ribosomal RNA". It matches the Rfam family "Bacterial small subunit ribosomal RNA", at positions 524 to 776 of the family's 1533-position model. The record is from RNAcentral.